Molecule: ribosomal RNA, 467 nt
Filed under: uncultured bacterium
Lineage: Bacteria
Description: partial 16S ribosomal RNA
Rfam family: Bacterial small subunit ribosomal RNA
Source: RNAcentral
GACGAACGCUGGCGGCGUGCUUAACACAUGCAAGUCGAACGGAAAGGCCUCUUUCGGGGGGUACUCUCUUGGCGAACGGGUGAGUAACACAUGAGUAACCUUCCCUUGACUUUUGGGUAACUUCUCGGAACUUUGGCUCAUACCCGGUAAGAGCUCCUCCUGCCUGGUGGGGGUUUGAAAGUUUCGGCGGGUGGGGGUGGGCUCUCGGCUUAUCAGCUUGUUGGUGGGGUAGUGGCUUACCCAGGCUUUUACGGGUAGCCGGCCUGAGAGGGUGACCGGCCACAUUGGGACUGAGAUACGGCCCAGACUCCUACGGGAGGCAGCAGUGGGGAAUAUUGCACAAUGGGUGGAAGCCUGAUGCAGCAACGCCGUGUGCGGGAUGACGGCCUUCGGGUUGUAAACCGCUUUCGCUCAUGACGAAGCUUUGUGUGACGGUAGUGGGUAAAGAAGCACCGGCUAACUACGUG